GACAACAUAAACAUUCAUCAGCUCAACAACAUCGACCUAUAUAAACACAAAAUUCCCAAAGGUCCUUUGCCGCCCAGAGUUCCCUCUCUUUAUACAUCUACAUAUGAUAAGCACAAUUUCUGCACUUCGAUCGUUCUAACAUCUGCGACAUUGCAGUAUCCAUGAUAUUUCCUUUUCUAAAAAUUGUCACAAUUUUGCAAAUUCGUUUAGAGAUUGUGCGAAAUCCAACGUGGAACAUUAUCCUCAAAACUGAUUUUGAAUUAUAAAAUUCAAAAACCCCAAUUAUCCCCAAUAUUGAUUUUUACCCUAAUCAUACGAAUUCGGAUGAUUCGAUACAGCAAAAGCUCAUCCAACAAGAUUCCAGAACUCCUAAAUCCCACAUUUAAAUUUCAUUCUCAAAGACCUAAAAUCAUUCCUAUAUAAACCCUUUUACUCCAUCGUUUGACGAGAAGGUUAAAGACAGUCAACAGUAGAGAACUCCAACUGAGAAAGGGAUUUCGCUAAGACUGAAGAUUCUAGUGUCAAGAAAUGUGAUAAGACUCACUUGAUCUCAAAUUUAUAGGCUAAGGAUUGAGCUUGUUUUUGGUGGUGGUACGAAAAAAAUUAGAAGAAGCUGGAAGGCCUGAUAUUGUUGCUCUGAAAUAGGUGAUACCCCUAUUCCUCUUGUGUUCUAUCUCAAUUUAUCUUCUUGCAUCAUGAUGCUUCUUGUUGUAGCUUUCUUUUUAGUACUAUCUAUGUUCUGAUUGUGAUUUUUCAUUCAUCCGCAGUAGUAGCGCCAAAUUUCACACAUGAGCAUGGGAAUGGACUUAAUACUGUUGGCUCUUUUCGUUUAAAUUAUUUCAGCCUGUGUACUAUUUCAAGGGGUUUAAUUCUAAAGUUUCUUCCUUUGCUAUUUGUGAUUCGUUCAUGUCUUUGCGUUAGUUAGGUUAGUUUGAGCAUUAACAUGAGUUUCAAUCAUGUUUGUCUAAGCUUUACUACUAUUUCUUUUUUCCUCUUAUUAGAAAUAUGUAAGAAUUACCUUUCUGUUGAACGCGUUUGUUUAUAUAACUUUGUUCGUUCUUGUCAUUUUUAGCGAAUGGUAUCGCAAAACUCGUCCUACCACUUGGGCAAUUGCUCACUAUUGUUUUGAUUUACGAGUUAAGACAACUUAAAGUUGUUCGAUUUGAAUGGUUAGAGUUUGUCUCUCUUUGAGCUUGUAUUGCUAAUGCGUCGAUUCAAUAGGUCGAAAAUUUGUUUUUAAGGCUAUCUGUUAAAGAGCAGUGACCCCUUUUUUUUAUUCUUUUUCACAUAUUGAAGGCCAUCUCCUUGUAUGAUCUUUGCUUAUGACUCUUUAUUUUGUUUCAAUCAUUUUCCUUUGUCAACAAAUAAAUCUUUAAUUUUUAGGCGAUUGAAUUCAUCCCUAUCUCUCAGUCUUUCCCCUUUUCUUUUUCCCUUAGAAGCCUCCACUGAAUCAUGAAACACUAUGACCAAGUGUAAGUGAAUCCAUGAAAGAGCCUAGAAUUCUCAUCUUUAAGCUUUUUUGAAAAUCUGAAAAUCACUACGCUAUGAGUGUGAGUUCAAUAAGGCCUUUAAGUUAUUUGUUCGUCCUCUCUUUUUAGUUAUUCUUCUUCGAUGGACUUUGUGUGGUAUUAACUACGAAAUUUGCUUAAUGAUUUCUGAUUUUAACUGUAUUCGUUGGUUCGAGUUAUAAAUGGUUACAUUGUAUUAUUCUUAUAAUAGAUUAAAGGUCCUUGAGGGACCGAUUUGAUUUGUACAUAUUGUAACUUUUCAAGAGAUGAUGAAAUAAGUAAGUUUUAAAUUAUUAUAUGGCAAUUCUUCUUGGAUAUGUUUUUGAUUGAAAGAAGUUGGAUUUAGCUUUUUGAUCAAUCAUUGAUUAUUUUUAUGGAAUGAAAGUUACUUAUUUUGCUCUUUAUGUAUUAAUUAGGUUCUAAUCUUUAUAUCUUUUUCUUUGCAUGUGAAACUUUUCCGCAUUCAAAUGGACUUUCUUCACCUCGCAUUUCUCCAAUGGGUCAACAAG
Molecule: long non-coding RNA, 2017 nt
Filed under: Capsicum annuum
Lineage: Eukaryota; Viridiplantae; Streptophyta; Magnoliopsida; Solanales; Solanaceae
Description: long non-coding RNA (CANN_LNC002638)
Source: RNAcentral